CGUAGGGUGCGAGCGUUAAUCGGAAUACUGGGCGUAAAGCGUGCGCAGGCGGUUUGUUAAGUCUGAUGUGAAAGCCCCGGGCUCAACCUGGGAAUGGCAUUGGAAACUGGCAAGCUGGAGUGUGGCAGAGGGGGGUGGAAUUCCGCGUGUAGCAGUGAAAUGCGUAGAGAUGCGGAGGAACACCGAUGGCGAAGGCAGCCCCCUGGGCCGACACUGACGCUCAGGCACGAAAGCGUGGGGAGCAA
RNAcentral lists this ribosomal RNA (245 nucleotides) under uncultured bacterium. RNAcentral's name for it is "partial 16S ribosomal RNA". It matches the Rfam family "Bacterial small subunit ribosomal RNA", at positions 526 to 771 of the family's 1533-position model. The record is from RNAcentral.